This 468-nucleotide ribosomal RNA is filed under the name uncultured bacterium. Its description in RNAcentral is "partial 16S ribosomal RNA". It matches the Rfam family "Bacterial small subunit ribosomal RNA", at positions 28 to 507 of the family's 1533-position model. The record is from RNAcentral.
GACGAACGCUGGCGGCGUGCUUAACACAUGCAAGUCGAACGGAAAGGCCCUGCUUUUGUGGGGUGCUCGAGUGGCGAACGGGUGAGUAACACGUGAGUAACCUGCCCUUGACUUUGGGAUAACUUCAGGAAACUGGGGCUACUACCGGAUAGGAGCUCCUGCUGCAUGGUGGGGGUUGGAAAGUUUCGGCGGUUGGGGAUGGACUCGCGGCUUAUCAGCUUGUUGGUGGGGUAGUGGCUUACCAAGGCUUUGACGGGUAGCCGGCCUGAGAGGGUGACCGGCCACAUUGGGACUGAGAUACGGCCCAGACUCGUACGGGAGGCAGCAGUGGGGAAUAUUGCACAAUGGGCGGAAGCCUGAUGCAGCAACGCCGCGUGCGGGAUGACGGCCUUCGGGUUGUAAACCGCUUUCGCCUGUGACGAAGCGUGAGUGACGGUAAUGGGUAAAGAAGCACCGGCUAACUACGUG